RNAcentral lists this long non-coding RNA (238 nucleotides) under Capsicum annuum. Its description in RNAcentral is "long non-coding RNA (CANN_LNC011974)". Lineage: Eukaryota; Viridiplantae; Streptophyta; Magnoliopsida; Solanales; Solanaceae. The record is from RNAcentral.
GAAGUACGAAAAUUCUAAAACUCACCCAAUACGACCUAUUGACAUCCCUGAUCAUGAAUCAACUUAAAAAUUGACACUUUAAGGUUGUAAGGAUUGGAAAUAAGAUCGUCCAAUUUCGAAGGCUAAAAUGCUUCUAAGUCUUAACACUUAGCUGAAUUUUUCUAAGUUUGGGACCCUUUAUUACAAGCUAUAUGGGACUGCUCUGAACAAGAACUUUUACGGGGUCUGACAAUAUCCC